GAGGUAGAUUGGGUGGUUUCAACAGGAACGCAUCCACUGUCUGAGAGUUUAAACUUGAUUUUGUGAGGGGACGAACAGCGUGACAAUUAAAAGAAGAUCUGGGAAUCAUCCAAUGUGAUAAUUUAUGUGAAAUCUUUCUGCAAACUAUACAGUAUGAUAAAAAUAUAAGGUAGUUUCACUGGAAACAACAGAAGACUAGAAGCUGAUGUGACGUGGCAAUAUCAACCAGAAUAUUUGCUUGAGGAAAUGACCAAAAACUUAAAAUCUGUUAUAACAUUGACCCCUUAGAGACAUAAUAAACAUGGAAAGAGUGAAGAGUGUGGAAUUGUUUAAAACCUGGUUUUGUCAAGGAUCAGUUAAUCAUCACAUCUUCAGUAGUCUGGAAAUGUCAGCAUGCCAUGAAAGUAGGUGUUCAAGAACAUGACUGGAAAAAUACUUCAAUCCUCAGCCCACUUGGAUGAAGCCAAAGAAUCCACUGUCUAUCUUUUCUAUUCCAGCUGUACCUGUCAAAGUAAUUUAUCAGAAUUAGUGCUCUUCUUGAUGAUGUAAUAGUGAGCUGACACAUAAUUCUACUAUAUCUGAUAAGUAAAUUAUUAGCUCAUGCCAGAACAAAAAGGAUGGACAUUGCCACUCAAAAUUGAUUAUUUUACAUAACACAGGGACCACCCAUAGACUACAUAGGAUUUUCACGGAACUUCAGAAAUUCUUGAAUCUCAUUUUGAGAACCACUUUUCUAUUGUACUUUAUUCUGGUGUUUUCUUAGAUAGUGUAUAUCUGGGAUAUAUAGACAGAAAGUUUAUGCUUCUAGUAAGAGCAGAGAUGGAAACUUGAGCUGUGUGGAUACAGGAAUACUUCAGAAAAGCCUCAGGCUAAUAUAGUCAGACUUUACUCACUGGAUUGCCUGGAAAUAAUUUUUGGUCAGUGCUAUGAACUGAAUGUUUUUGUCCGUCUGUGAGGCCAUAGCAAGAAGGUGGCAGUCUGCAAGCCAGGAAGAGAGCCCUCAGCAGAAACCAAAUGGUCCAACACUUAAAUCUCAGACUUCCCAGCCUCCAGAACUGUGAGAAAAUAAAUUUCUGUUAUUAAAGC
Molecule: long non-coding RNA, 1086 nt
Filed under: Homo sapiens (human)
Lineage: Eukaryota; Metazoa; Chordata; Mammalia; Primates; Hominidae
Description: TMEM161B divergent transcript
Source: RNAcentral